AAGUCGUAACAAGGUUUCCGUAGGUGAACCUGCGGAAGGAUCAUUAGCAAAUCUACACUACGCUAGUAACCUGUGAGAACGAUGCGUGGGGUGUGUGUACGCACACACCCCCGCUCCAAGACGAUGAUUGUCAGAGGUACGUGCGUAACCGCAAACAACUUUUAACAAUGGAUCUCUUGGCUCUU
This 185-nucleotide unclassified non-coding RNA is filed under the name fungal sp. RNAcentral's name for it is "partial internal transcribed spacer region". The stretch from base 1 to 46 matches the Rfam family "Eukaryotic small subunit ribosomal RNA", at positions 1786 to 1831 of the family's 1831-position model. Lineage: Eukaryota; Fungi. The record is from RNAcentral.